RNAcentral lists this signal recognition particle RNA (306 nucleotides) under Erythranthe guttata (spotted monkey flower). RNAcentral describes it as "Mimulus guttatus (spotted monkey flower) Plant signal recognition particle RNA". It matches the Rfam family "Plant signal recognition particle RNA". Lineage: Eukaryota; Viridiplantae; Streptophyta; Magnoliopsida; Lamiales; Phrymaceae. The record is from Rfam by way of RNAcentral.
GCCGAGCUCAGUAACGUGGGCUUAUCACCCAAGUGGGGGCAAUAUUGUGAUUGGACAUGUGGUUUGACUGUCUAGCUGGACCCGGUGGUUGCAAUUAACCGGCUUGCCCGUUCCAAGUGGUGAGUUGGGCCACGUGACUCGGGCGAAGGCUUGAGCCACAUGGCUCGUAGAGUGGAGGGCAAUGCGCUAGGCUGGUUUGACAGAGCAGUGAAAACUUCCCGCUCUCUACAGUGGAAGGAUAACGGGUCGGUGCUUCUUCGGCCCACUUAAGCUAAAUGAGCUAACCUCUAUUGGACAAUCACUUUU